Molecule: non-coding RNA, 210 nt
Organism: Mycobacterium xenopi RIVM700367
Lineage: Bacteria; Bacillati; Actinomycetota; Actinomycetes; Mycobacteriales; Mycobacteriaceae
Source: Rfam
UGGUUUGCCGGCAAUGUCGGCAUCGAGCGAGGCAGCUUGAUUCUGCCUCGCGAGAGGGAACCCGGUGAGAAUCCGGGACUGUCCCGCAGCGGUAUGCAGGAACGACCGCCGUCAUCAGCACUGGUCGCCCGACUGGGAAGCGACGGCCAUUAGGAGCACCGCCGGUGCGCGCCUGCGAGUCCGAAAACCUGCCGGUUGUGCCGGAUGCGC